Molecule: long non-coding RNA, 314 nt
Filed under: Mytilus galloprovincialis (Mediterranean mussel)
Lineage: Eukaryota; Metazoa; Mollusca; Bivalvia; Mytilida; Mytilidae
Source: RNAcentral
CGCAGCUUCAUACGACCGCAGAGUUCGAACCCUGAACAGUUGGGGCAAGUAUGGACACAACAUUCAAGCUUGAUACAGCUCUGAAUUUGGAAUGUGAUUAAAUAGUUGACACAACAUAGGUUUCUGACACAGAAUGAAUGUGGUCUAAGAACUUAAACUUAAAAACUUAAAAAUUUUAAAUUGGAUAUUUACCUAUUAUGGUCCAAUAUCCAAAAUCUAAAUACAUGGUUAGAUUUAGCAUAUCAAAGAACCCCAAGAAUUCAAAUUUUGAUGAAAUCAAAUAAGGUUCAAUUUUGGACCCUUUAGACCUCAAU